UGGGGAAUCUUGCACAAUGGGGGCAACCCUGAUGCAGCGACGCCGCGUGAGCGAUGAAGCCCUUCGGGGCGUAAAGCUCUUUCGGCCAGAACGAUAAUGACGGUGCUGGAAGAAGAAGCUGCGGCUAACUACGUGCCAGCAGCCGCGGUAAUACGUAGGCAGCGAGCGUUGUUCGGAGUUACUGGGCGUAAAGCGUGCGUAGGCGGUCUUGCAAGUCUGGUGUGAAAUCUCCCGGCUCAACUGGGAGGGUGCGCCGGAAACUGCAAGGCUGGAGUAUGGGAGAGGUAGGCGGAAUUCCUGGUGUAGCGGUGAAAUGCGUAGAUAUCAGGAGGAACACCUGUGGUGUAGACGGCUUACUGGACCAUCACUGACGCUGAGGCACGAAAGCGUGGGGAGCAAACAGG
RNAcentral lists this ribosomal RNA (404 nucleotides) under uncultured bacterium. Its description in RNAcentral is "bacterial SSU rRNA". It matches the Rfam family "Bacterial small subunit ribosomal RNA", at positions 355 to 776 of the family's 1533-position model. The record is from RNAcentral.